UGGUGGAGUGAUUUGUCUGGUUAAUUCCGUUAACGAACGAGACCUCGAUCUACUAAAUAGUUUUGCUCAAACUCUUCGAGUUUGGUAUUAACUUCUUAGAGGGACUCCGAUCUUCAAAAUCGUGGAAGUUCGAGGCUAUAACA
RNAcentral lists this ribosomal RNA (143 nucleotides) under uncultured eukaryote. Its description in RNAcentral is "partial 18S ribosomal RNA". It matches the Rfam family "Eukaryotic small subunit ribosomal RNA", at positions 1299 to 1458 of the family's 1831-position model. The record is from RNAcentral.